This 333-nucleotide unclassified non-coding RNA is filed under the name Hevea brasiliensis (rubber tree). Lineage: Eukaryota; Viridiplantae; Streptophyta; Magnoliopsida; Malpighiales; Euphorbiaceae. The record is from RNAcentral.
GGAGGAUUAUCCAAAUUUUGAUGAAGCCAGUAUUUUGAAGGAUCCACAACUAUGUUUGGGUAUGAAGUUCACUAAUUGGUAUGUGUACAGGAAGGCAUUAAAGGAAUGGGCAGUCAAAAGAGGUUUUGAUUAUAUGUUUGUGAAAAAUUCAACCACCCGGAUAAUAGCCAUUUGUGAAGAAAAAUGUGGCUUCAGAAUUCAUGCUUCGAAAAUGCGGAAAAGUACAUCCAUCCAAAUUAGAAGUUUCAAGCCAAAGCAGGAGUGUCCAAGGGAUUUCAAAAAUAAUUUGGCGAAUUCAAAAUAUAUAUCAGACAAAUAUAUGGGUGACUUGAG